CGAGCCGGCCGGGCGGCCGCGUCGACGCCGGCAACGGCGUCGCCGAGGAAAGUCCGGACUCCACAGGGCAGGGUGGUGGGCAACACCCACCCGGGGCGACCCGCGGGACAGUGCCACAGAAAGCAGACCGCCGCCGGUCGGGCGACCGCCCGGCGGUAAGGGUGAAACGGUGGUGUAAGAGACCACCAGCGCCCGGGGUGACCCGGGCGGCUCGGCAAACCCCACCCGGAGCAAGGCCAGACAGGGAGCGCCCGAGGGCUGCCCGCCCGAGCUCCCGGGUAGGCCGCACAUGAGGUCACCGGCAACGGUGGCCCGAGAUGGAUGGCCGCCGCCCACGACCCUUGCGGUCGCGGGCACAGAAUCCGGCUUACAGGCCGGCUCGUCCC
This 386-nucleotide RNase P RNA is filed under the name Actinomycetota bacterium. RNAcentral describes it as "RNase P RNA component class A". It matches the Rfam family "Bacterial RNase P class A". Rfam says of the family: Ribonuclease P (RNase P) is a ubiquitous endoribonuclease, found in archaea, bacteria and eukarya as well as chloroplasts and mitochondria. Lineage: Bacteria; Bacillati; Actinomycetota. The record is from RNAcentral.